This 2894-nucleotide ribosomal RNA is filed under the name Pterocladiophila hemisphaerica. RNAcentral describes it as "large subunit ribosomal RNA". It matches the Rfam family "Bacterial large subunit ribosomal RNA". Lineage: Eukaryota; Rhodophyta; Florideophyceae; Gracilariales; Pterocladiophilaceae. The record is from RNAcentral.
AUUAUAAGUAAAGCUUAUGGUGGAUACCUAGGUAUUUAGUAGUAAUUAAAGGCGUGACUACCAACGAAAUACCUCGAAUAAUUGGAAGUAAAUAAUGACUCGAGGAUUCCUAAUUGAAUAAAAUAUUAUCUUUUAAAUAAAACUGAUAAUUUUUAUAAUACACAAACUCAGUGAACUGAAACAUCUUAGUAACUGAAGGAAAAGAAAGCAAAAGCGAUUCCCUUAGUAGUGGCGAGCGAAAAGGGAACAGCCCAAACUGUGAAACAAAAUCUCUUUGUUACACAGGGUAUGGAAAAAUAUCUUUGUAAUGUUAAAAUUAGAUGAAACAAUUGGAAUCUUGUCUAAUAUAAGGUAACAAGCCUGUAAUCAAAAAUUUUUAUUAUAAUAAUUUUAUUCCUGAGUAACAUAAAAUAAGUUAAAUUUUGUGCGAAUUAACGAGGACCACCUCGUAAGGCUAAAUAUUCCUAAAUAACCGAUAGUGAACUAGUAUUGUGAAAGAAAGGUGAAACAGAACCCUGAAAAGGGAGUGAAACAGAGCAUGAAACCAUAAGUGUACAAGCUGUAGAAAAACGACUGAUCGUUUAACUGUGUGCAUGUUGAAGAAUGAGCCGACGACUUAUAAAUAAUGGCAGGUUAAAUUAAAUAACAAAGAUGGAGCCAUAGUGAAAGCGAGCUUAAAUAAAGCGAUAGUCAUUAUUUAUAGACCCGAACCCGGAUGAUCUAACCAUGGCCAGGAUGAAAAAAAGGUAAUACUUUUUGAAGGUCCGAACCGACUAAUGUUGAAAAAUUAGCGGAUGAGCUGUGGUUAGAGGUGAAAUGCCAAUCGAAUCCGGAGCUAGCUGGUUCUCUCCGAAAUGUGUUUUGGCACAGCGAUUAAUAUAUUUCUUAAGGGGUAAAGCACUAUUUGAAUUAAAGCUAUUAUAAUAGAAUUAUAUUCAUAUAAACUCUGAAUACUUAAGUAUUAUAAAUUAAUUAGUCAGACUAUAGGGGAUAAGCUCUAUUGUCAAAAGGGAAACAGCCCAGAUCAUCAGCUAAGGCCCUUAAAUAAUUACUAAGUGAGAAAGGACGUGAAAAUACUAUAACAACUAGAAGGUUAGCUUAGAAGCAGCGAUCCUUUAAAGAGUGCGUAAUAGCUCACUGGUUUAGUAGUUUUGCACCGAAAAUAAUCAGGACUAAGUAAUUUGCCGAAUCUAUGAGAUAUUAUAACUAUAAUAUAUCGGUAGGAGAGCGUUCUGUAUUAAUUAGAAGCAUUAGCGUUAGCGGAUGUGGAUGAAGCAGAAGUGAGAAUGUCGGCUUGAGUAACGAAAACAUUGGUGAGAAUCCAAUGCUCCGAAAACCUAAAGUUUCCUUCGCAAGGUUCGUCCUCGAAGGGUUAGUCAGAACCUAAGAUAAGGUUGAAAAACGUAGUUGAUGGAUAAAAGGUUAAUAUUCCUUUACUAUUUGAUUCUAUUAAAAAUAAAUGACGAAAUUUUGUUAUAUUGACCGAAAGUUGGUUAUCGGUGAAAAUUAUAUUAACUUCUAUUCUUUGUCUUGUUGUUAAAAAGUUUUACAAAUAUCUUAAAUAUUAAGAAACGUAAAUAUAAAGUCUAUUUCCAAGAAAAGUUGAUUUUUAGUUAAAGAACAAAUAUCUGUACUAUAAUCUGACACAAGUAGGUAGGUAGAGUAUACUAAGGAGCGCGAGAUAAUUCUCUCUAAGGAACUAGGCAAAAUAGCUCUGUAACUUCGGAAGAAAGAGUGCCUCUCUUAUUUUAUAAGAAGGUUGCAAUAACAAGGUUCAAACGACUGUUUAUCAAAAACAUAGGUUUCCGCUAAAUCGUAAGAUGAUGUAUGGAAGCUGACGCCUGCCCAGUGUCGGAAAGUGAAAAUUAUUUGUAAUAUAUAACUAUAUAGAGCUUAUAAUUUAAUCUUCGAUGAACGGCGGCCGUAACUAUAACGGUCCUAAGGUAGCGAAAUUCCUUGUCGGGUAAGUUCCGACCCGCACGAAAGGCGUAACGAUUUGAACACUGUCUCAGAGAGACACUCGGUGAAAUAGAAUUGUCUGUGAAGAUGCGGACUACUUACACCUGGACAGAAAGACCCUAUGAAGCUUUACUGUAACCUGAAAUUGUAUUUGAAAAUAACUUGUGCAGCAUAAAUGGGAAAUAAUAAAUUAAAUAUUAUUAUUGUCAGUGAGAUACCAUUCUGGUUAUUCUAAAAUACUUACUUUAUUUAUCGUUAUCCGAUAAAAGAACAGUUUUUGGAAGACAGUUUGACUGGGGCGGUCGCCUCCUAAAAAGUAACGGAGGCGUGCAAAGGUUUUUUCAAAUUGUACAUAAAUCAAUUGUAGAAUAUAAAGGUAUAAAAAAGCUUGACUGUAAGACUAACAAGUCAAACAGAGACGAAAGUCGGCCUUAGUGAUCCGACAGUACUGAGUGGAAAGGCUGUCGCUCAACGGAUAAAAGUUACUCUAGGGAUAACAGGCUGAUCUCCCCCAAGAGUUCACAUCGACGGGGAGGUUUGGCACCUCGAUGUCGGCUCAUCGCAUCCUGGGGCGGUAGCACGUCCCAAGGGUUGGGCUGUUCGCCCAUGAAAGCGGUACGCGAGCUGGGUUCAGAACGUCGUGAGACAGUUCGGUCCAUAUCCGGUGUAAGCGUUAGAGUAUUGAAAGGAUUUCUUCUUAGUACGAGAGGACCAGAAGAAGCAUACCAAUGGUGUACCAGUUAUUGUGCCAACAGUAUACGCUGGGUAGCUAAGUAUGGUUAAAAUAAUCACUGAAAGCAUAUAAGUGAGAAAUUGACCUUAAGAUGAGUACUCUUUAUUACUUUGACUAAAGUAAAAAAGAUCACGGAAAGAUUAACCGUUUAAUAGGCAUUAAGUCUAAGUAUAGAAAUAUAUAGAGCUAAGAUGUACUAACA